Molecule: unclassified non-coding RNA, 253 nt
Filed under: uncultured Parcubacteria group bacterium
Lineage: Bacteria
Description: contains 16S-23S intergenic spacer region
Rfam family: Bacterial small subunit ribosomal RNA
Source: RNAcentral
UACAGAAGCCUCGAGCGUUACCCGGAAUCACUGGGCGUAAAGGGUGCGUAGGCGGUUAUAUUAGUCGGAUGUUAAAUCCCGAGGCUCAACCUCGGAAUCGCAUUCGAAACGGUAUAACUAGGAGGAGUGAGAGGUGUGCGGAACUCAAGGUGUAGGGGUGAAAUCCGUUGAUAUCUUGGGGAACACCAAAUGCGAAGGCAGCACACUGGCACUCUCUCGACGCUGAGGCACGAAAGCGUGGGGAGCAAACAGG